Molecule: long non-coding RNA, 1665 nt
Organism: Prosopis cineraria
Lineage: Eukaryota; Viridiplantae; Streptophyta; Magnoliopsida; Fabales; Fabaceae
Exons: 3
Source: RefSeq, a predicted model, not a curated record
CCGACAUAUCUCUUUUCCUCUAUGGUCGAAAAUUCUAGAUUCAGCGAGAGAGAGGGAGUCCUCGUCCAUUAUCCGACUUUCCAUCCUUUCUCUAUCAUUUUUAAGGUCACUAGCCGUGCAAGCAAGAGAUGAGAUUCGGAUAGCAGGUCUCGGGAUCCUAUUUCAUCGCUGAUCCUCAGAUCAUUUCAGUCGUGGGUGUUGUCGGACCCUCUUUCUCCUCCUCCAUUCUUUCCGUUCAAGAAUCGUGAGCACGCAAGGAACUGGUCUAACAGUUUUGGAGGUCUGAUUCAUGAAAGGGAGGCUGGUGAGUGGCUGUCGUCUUCUCCCCUGUUCCGUCGACCCUUUCUUUCUCCUCCUCUGUUCGUGUUUUUUUUUUUGCUGUCCGUGUGGAGGUGAGUACUCAGAUCAUCUUCUUUCUUGUUUUUUUACCUUGUUCGUUCGUGGCUUGUGACUGGGGAGUGACAAAAAUCUUCCUCCUUUGACUGUGUUGUAGCUUGUUUGCAUCGAAUCCCUUCUCCCCUGUACAGCUCAUGACUUUCUUCCCUUUCUUUCUGCGUUGUUGAUGUUCUGUGAUGGCUGGAGAUUUUUAUUUCUUUCUCGUUGUAGCUGUGUGUGAUUGGAGUAGUAGAAGGGAGUCUGAUCAUAUUCAAGAUUUAAGCUUAAGAAUAUGGUUUUUGGUAGCUAAUUUCUCUUACUUACAUUGGUUCCACUGGAAGAAUAAAUUGAUUUAACUAUCUUUGAGCUUAAUUGGGAAGUUGUUGAACUUAAAAUUGGUAUUGAGGUACUGAGGAAGUUAUUGGAAUGGAAAAAAAAAACCUUGGAUUAUUAGUUUUAGUGUUAAUGCUUAUGAGGUGUUUGAUAAAAUGCCUAUUAGGAGGAGUUUUGUUUAGUUAUAAUUUUCUAAAAUUUUUACUAACCUUUUUGAAGUCAUACUUGGCUUGGGUGCUAAUUAUUUAUAAAAGAAACUUCAAUUUUGUGAAGAAUGCCAAUUAUGAAACUAUUGUGAGUUUGACUGGUAUAUUGCAAGCAAUACUAAUGAUUAUGGAGGUUAUAUGUAGUUAGUACAAUAUUUGAGGCAAUAUUUGAAAAAUAAUAUUGGAGUUAAGAUUUAUCUAUUCUACUUCCUGAAUUGAUUUGGCCUAGUUGUGAAGUGUGACAUGUGUAUGUAUAAUAUUGAAAGGAUUGAUUGAUUAAAGGCAGCGAUUGGAUUGGUUUAAGAACUUAGUGACUAUGAUGUUAGGAGAGGAGGGUUUAUUAAAUUUGAGCAGAGGUCACUAAAUUUUGUAUUAUUGAAUAGGGAUUUAGAGAAAGAAAUUCUUGAUUAAGGUAAUAAGGAAGGAUUGAAGCUUUAAAGGGUAAAUUUUGCGCUUGGAGAUGUUGCAGUUAGGGAUCUGAUGCUAGCGAAAUGGAUGAUCUGGUGAAGAAAAGUUAAUACUCAUACAUAAAGAGAGCAGCACGUGCACCGCCAUGGCUCAAAAUUAUUAAUUUCACUCUCUUCAUCGGUGCCUCUGGUGGUCUUCUUUAUACAUGUCCAAACUAUCUUAAAUGAUUUCAAUAUUAUUAUUAGGGUACUUUUGUCAAAUCUUCAGACUUAUAGAAGCUUGUGCAAUUAUGUAGUUACUGAGAAAACUAAUGUGUAGGUCAUUAUAAUUUUUCUUAAUUUUA